AUUAUUUUGGCAGAUUAGUGCAUUAAAUUUAGAAUUUAAUAUUAAAUAUAAUAAAUUUAUAUAAAUAAUA
This 70-nucleotide transfer RNA is filed under the name Pheidole flavigaster. Its description in RNAcentral is "tRNA-Leu". The record is from RNAcentral. Lineage: Eukaryota; Metazoa; Arthropoda; Insecta; Hymenoptera; Formicidae.